AGGCGCGGGAGCGAGUCAUAGCAGCGCUAUGGCGAGCGAGUGCAACGAAG
RNAcentral lists this ribosomal RNA (50 nucleotides) under Gemmatimonadaceae bacterium. RNAcentral describes it as "partial 23S ribosomal RNA". The record is from RNAcentral. Lineage: Bacteria; Pseudomonadati; Gemmatimonadota; Gemmatimonadia; Gemmatimonadales; Gemmatimonadaceae.